GUAUAUUUGAAGGCUGUGCAAGUGACAUGCAGGAAGGUGUGACUAAGGUUGUGUAAACAAACUUAUUUAAUUCCUAAAUAGCAGAGAACUGAGCAGUGACAAUGCAGGGAUAUGAUCUAUAACCCAAAACCGAACCAUUAAGCUAAAGUUGUUUUAGUGCCUAUAGUAUCACUUUAAGUUAGGUGUGUAUGCAUAUAGGUGCGUUCAUUCAAGAAUUUUUGUGACAAAACAAGGAAUAGAGUCAACGCUAAUCGGGAAGGCAGCAGUCCCAGGACAAGGACUCCCUCUAAUGUCUUUUAG
This is a non-coding RNA of Pelobates cultripes (western spadefoot toad), 300 nucleotides long. NCBI's taxonomy places the organism in Eukaryota, Metazoa, Chordata, Amphibia, Anura, Pelobatidae. The record is from the annotation of a GenBank genome assembly.